RNAcentral lists this ribosomal RNA (301 nucleotides) under uncultured bacterium. RNAcentral describes it as "partial 16S ribosomal RNA". It matches the Rfam family "Bacterial small subunit ribosomal RNA", at positions 509 to 807 of the family's 1533-position model. The record is from RNAcentral.
CAGUAGCCGCGGUAAUACGAAGGGGGCUAGCGUUGCUCGGAAUUACUGGGCGUAAAGGGAGCGUAGGCGGACAUUUAAGUCAGGGGUGAAAUCCCGGGGCUCAACCUCGGAAUUGCCUUUGAUACUGGGUGUCUUGAGUAUGAGAGAGGUAUGUGGAACUCCGAGUGUAGAGGUGAAAUUCGUAGAUAUUCGGAAGAACACCAGUGGCGAAGGCGACAUACUGGCUCAUUACUGACGCUGAGGCUCGAAAGCGUGGGGAGCAAACAGGAUUAGAGACCCGCGUAGUCCCUGUCUCUUAUAC